This 796-nucleotide long non-coding RNA is filed under the name Betta splendens (Siamese fighting fish). RNAcentral describes it as "lncRNA (ENSBSLG00000024329.1)". Lineage: Eukaryota; Metazoa; Chordata; Actinopteri; Anabantiformes; Osphronemidae. The record is from RNAcentral.
CAGAGGCUAAACAAAAAACAAACAAAACAGGAAGCACAUGUUGUAGCCAGCAGUGUAAUUCAGUUUCAAAAUGUAGAGCAUAUUUGUUCCCAAAGUGACACAGAACAAUAAUAGCAGUGCCAGAAUCCAUUAACUUUUAUCAUGUUGCGCAAAUUUGUUCCACGGUGUCAGACUCUAGAAACCCCUGAAGCAUUUGAACUCAAACAGAACAAAGCAAACUUUGCACGAGAAUGAGUGCAAAAGCACCGAGCGCUUGCUAGACAUGUUGAAUCACUUUAUCAAACUGACUGCAGACUAGAUGGUCAAUCAGAGAAGUCAAUCAGCAGCUGGAUGAGCCAACUGACACACCUAAUCAAGAAAACCGCUGCAUGGUUCUAUGGCUUGGGGAGUGCCCCUGCCUCUGGUGACAUGGAGGUUGUUGAGUGCUGCCAGUCCAUGUGUAGUCUGUGUGUUGUGCAACAGUGCCCUCCAAUGGAGCCGUGGUGGCGCUAUUUCAAAAGGUUAGAGUCUGUCUGCUGGUGUAGAGGAGGGGUUUCCUGAGAGGCCUGAAGGAAACCAGACUGUGCACGAUUACCCAAGAGAAAAUAUCCAUCGACUGCUUAGAGUUUUAUGACACUUCAAUCAAUUUUUCCAUCUCUGGGGCGCAGUGAAAAUGGCAUUCAUACGGGGCCCUUUGUACCUGUCACAUGCUAUAUAUCUGGCAAUUCAUCUUUCUGUUUGAUAAUUCAAACGUGCUGUACUGUGUCUCUUAUGUGAUUACAAUAAACAGGCUUUUGAGGAGCCCUGUGAUGCUGCU